Molecule: RNase P RNA, 299 nt
Filed under: Mycoplasma phocoenae
Lineage: Bacteria; Bacillati; Mycoplasmatota; Mollicutes; Mycoplasmatales; Mycoplasmataceae
Description: Mycoplasma sp. Phocoena C-264-GEN Bacterial RNase P class B
Rfam family: Bacterial RNase P class B
About the family: Ribonuclease P (RNase P) is a ubiquitous endoribonuclease, found in archaea, bacteria and eukarya as well as chloroplasts and mitochondria. Its best characterised activity is the generation of mature 5'-ends of tRNAs by cleaving the 5'-leader elements of precursor-tRNAs.
Source: Rfam by way of RNAcentral
AGACUUGCCCAGUUGCUGCACUAAACGUGUAGAGGAAAAUCCACACUAGCACUUUCUGAGAUGAAAGUAGUGAUCAUGCUGAGUCUAAUAAAUUCAGGCAGUAGCAAUACUGACAACUAGUGACACAGAAACUAAGUCUGCUCAAUGAGUAAGAGUGCAAAGGUUAAACUUCAUGAGCUAGAAAUCUAAAUUAUGGUAAGAGAGUCUGAUUUAGGGAAAUGAACCGACGUCAGGAGGGUAGUAAUACCUUAGAUAAAUAACUGGGGCUCAUUAUUGAGUACAAAAAGUGGUUUAUAGAG